This is a long non-coding RNA of Penaeus chinensis, 595 nucleotides long. RefSeq lists it as uncharacterized. The record is from RefSeq and is a predicted model, not a curated record. Lineage: Eukaryota; Metazoa; Arthropoda; Malacostraca; Decapoda; Penaeidae. The transcript has 3 exons.
UUUAUCAUCCUGUUGGCUUUCGUUGCCUUCGCUGCGUCGGAUUCGCGUCUGUCUUCCUUCUACGGGGUCCCCCAGGUGUCAAGGGAGUCUUCUGAAAGUUCAUCAGAGAGUCGAGGAUCGUAUCGUAUUAACGAUAGAUCUGAUGAAGAUUCUGCUGAGUAUGGACCUGCAAAGUACGACUUCGACUGGGCCGUGAAGCACGACUACUCAGGCAACCACUUCGGCCACCAGGAGUCCCGCGACGGAGACUACACCCAAGGCUCGUACUACGUGCAGCUUCCCGACACUCGCUUGCAGACUGUCAAGUACUACGUGGACGGCGACUCUGGCUUCGUGGCCGAAGUGGAGUACGAGGGCGAGGCUCAGCAUCCUGAUUCCGAGGAGUAUCGAGUGUCUCAAGGCCGAUACUCAGCCCAAGACUCAGGCGAGGACUCGUCCGAAACGCUCGUUCGAGCCCCUUCAAGAUUUUAUGGUUCACCUUUGUAAAGUUAAGACGAAGAGGAUGGAUCUCGUUACGACGACCGUGAUUCAGUAUGGAGAUUAUGUGAAUUUAACUUAUAUAUUUAAUUGUAAUAAAAUUGUACGUGCACAGUAA